GCCCCUCUCGUCUAAUGGUUAUGACGCCAGACUUCUAAAUUUUCCCACGCUAUCUGGAGGCUGCGAGUUCGAGUCUCGCGAGGGGUU
Molecule: non-coding RNA, 87 nt
Organism: Mycena amicta
Lineage: Eukaryota; Fungi; Basidiomycota; Agaricomycetes; Agaricales; Mycenaceae
Source: the annotation of a GenBank genome assembly